CGUCAAGUCCUCAUGGCCUUUAUGACUAGGGCUGCACACGUCCUACAAUGGUACGUACAAAGGGAUGCAAAGCCGCGAGGUAGAGCAAAUCUCAGAAAACGUGCCUCAGUUCAGAUUGUAGGCUGCAACCCGCCUACAUGAAGCUGGAAUCGCUAGUAAUCGCGGGUCAGCAUACCGCGGUGAAUGUGUUCCUGAGCCUU
Molecule: ribosomal RNA, 200 nt
Filed under: uncultured organism
Description: partial small subunit ribosomal RNA
Rfam family: Bacterial small subunit ribosomal RNA
Source: RNAcentral